CGGACAACUUUUAGUAUUUUGAUCAUAACUUUCUCGUCUGAUCUCUAAUUGAAGUGAUUCAAAGUGCAUUGAGAAGAAAACUCAAAGAUCUACAUUUUUGAUAGAAAUAGACUUCCUCAAAUUCUGAUGUUUACUAUGCGAAAAAUAGAUCUCAAGUAGAAACUAAAAAUCACGAGCAUAGCUUUUUCGCCUGAAAGUUGAUACUUGAUAAUAUUUCGACCCUAUUUCACCUCGUGACUCCUUUCCUCAUCCGAUUGACCUCUAACACUCUUGAAUCUUCAUUCCAUUUCCCGUCUCAUCUAUGAAUUAUUUGCAACUUGGUCCCCGAACUUUCAGUUUAAUUCAUUUUAGUCCCUUUGCAAUUCCUUCUUCUUCCAAUCAUCUUGUAUUGCUUUCGAGUUCAUACUUAGCAUAUUUGCAUUCCCGAGUUGUCUUUUAGUUCAACUUUCGAAUAUUUCCAUCCUUAGUCCUUGAACUAUCACUUUGCUCCAUUUUAGUCCUUUUUCGGCUCUCUUCUCCUGAAUUCCACUAUUUUCAUAGAAACACCUACAUUGCAUGAAUUCAAUGAGAUUAAGUCACAAUUCAAUCAUUUUGCUUGUAUUUAAGUCAUGUUUGUAAUCUAAAUAAGUAUGCAAAAACACACUUAUCAGUUGCGUCGGGGCUAGCCCAUAGGAUCUAAGUACCAUCCUAAAGAAUGGGUGAAUUGGCAGCCUAAGUCCAGCCAGAUCGCCUCGCUAAUGGCUACACAACCUGGCCUAUGGUAGCAGGCCUUCUCUUCGGGCUCGGAGAGGAUCAAAUCUAUGCUAUCAGGGAUCCUAUACUCUAUCCUAU
This 831-nucleotide long non-coding RNA is filed under the name Olea europaea subsp. europaea. Lineage: Eukaryota; Viridiplantae; Streptophyta; Magnoliopsida; Lamiales; Oleaceae. The record is from RNAcentral.